GUGGAACUGUGUUAUCCCUUAGUCGCCUCUUACGACACCCACGGGAAGAGAGAGGGUGGCUAUAUUCUUUUGUACCGCAGCCACACAGUACAGAUAUUUAUUAUUGCUUUU
Melitaea cinxia (Glanville fritillary) is the source of this 111-nucleotide long non-coding RNA. RefSeq lists it as uncharacterized. NCBI's taxonomy places the organism in Eukaryota, Metazoa, Arthropoda, Insecta, Lepidoptera, Nymphalidae. The record is from RefSeq and is a predicted model, not a curated record. The transcript is spliced from 3 exons.